CAGCACUGGCAAGUGACCCAUUGGGCUCCUCUUUGACCAACUGGGCAUCGAGCAGUGCAAAAGCAAAUCCCACCACAAAGCUGGGAGAG
RNAcentral lists this small nucleolar RNA (89 nucleotides) under Sus scrofa (pig). Lineage: Eukaryota; Metazoa; Chordata; Mammalia; Artiodactyla; Suidae. The record is from RNAcentral.